GAUUAAGAACGUAGCGAAAUGCGAUACGUAAUGUGAAUUGCAGAAUUCAGUGAAUCAUCGAGUCUUUGAACGCACAUUGCGCCCCCUGGUAUUCCGGGGGGCAUGCCUGUCCGAGCGUCAUUGCUGCCCUCAAGCACGGCUUGUGUGUUGGGCCUCCGUCCUCCUCCCGGGGGACGGGCCCGAAAGGCAGCGGCGGCACCGCGUCCGGUCCUCGAGCGUAUGGGGCUUCGUCACCCGCUCUUGUAGGCCCGGCCGGCGCUUGCCGACACAUCAAUCUUUUUUCCAGGUUGACCUCGGAUCAGGUAGGGAUACCCGCUGAACUUAAGCAUAUCAAUAAGCGGAGGA
RNAcentral lists this unclassified non-coding RNA (345 nucleotides) under soil metagenome. RNAcentral's name for it is "partial contains 5.8S ribosomal RNA, internal transcribed spacer 2, and large subunit ribosomal RNA". The stretch from base 1 to 120 matches the Rfam family "5.8S ribosomal RNA", at positions 35 to 154 of the family's 154-position model. The record is from RNAcentral.